UNAUCUGGCUCAGAUUGAACGCUGGCGGCAGGCCUAACACAUGCAAGUCGAACGGUAACAGGAAACAGCUUGCUGUUUCGCUGACGAGUGGCGGACGGGUGAGUAAUGUCUGGGAAACUGCCUGAUGGAGGGGGAUAACUACUGGAAACGGUAGCUAAUACCGCAUAACGUCGCAAGACCAAAGAGGGGGGACCUUCGGGCCUCUUGCCAUCAGAUGUGCCCAGAUGGGAUUAGCUAGUAGGUGGGG
RNAcentral lists this ribosomal RNA (247 nucleotides) under uncultured bacterium. RNAcentral describes it as "partial 16S ribosomal RNA". It matches the Rfam family "Bacterial small subunit ribosomal RNA", at positions 14 to 257 of the family's 1533-position model. The record is from RNAcentral.